CGCCUCAUCUACUGGAACUCCCCUUCCACGGAACACUCUAGGACUACAAAAGGAUGGAAGACAAGUUUAUCACGGCCUUUUUCUUCUGCCAUCGCUCUUUCUUCGGCAAACCCGGCCCGGGGUGAUUUAGUGUGCUCUCUCUCUCUCCCAUGUCACUAGUCCAUUAAGAAGAAGUCACCAGAACAUUGCAAUUGGUUCCCGUCACUUCCGUAAAUUCCCGCUAAGCUAGGAAGUUUGUUGCUCGAGGUAAUAUUGUGGGUGAGCCCUACCCUAACCUGCCUGCUUGUCCCAACCUUAGCAGCACCUACCUUAUUAUCUCGACAAACCCCUCCCACAGAUUGUGCCUCGUUCCCAGCCGUUAGAAAGAAUGUAGUAGAGAGAACGAGGGCAA
Long non-coding RNA from Bolinopsis microptera, 391 nucleotides. RefSeq lists it as uncharacterized. The record is from RefSeq and is a predicted model, not a curated record. Lineage: Eukaryota; Metazoa; Ctenophora; Tentaculata; Lobata; Bolinopsidae. The transcript is spliced from 3 exons.